This 443-nucleotide ribosomal RNA is filed under the name uncultured bacterium. Its description in RNAcentral is "partial 16S ribosomal RNA". It matches the Rfam family "Bacterial small subunit ribosomal RNA", at positions 338 to 795 of the family's 1533-position model. The record is from RNAcentral.
CCUACGGGAGGCAGCAGUGGGGAAUAUUGGGCAAUGGGCGCAAGCCUUACCCAGCAAUACCGCGUGAGUGAAGAAGGUCUUCGGAUUGUAAAGCUCUUUGAUCAUGGACGAACAGAUGACGGUACCUGAAGAACAAGCCCCGGCUAACUACGUGCCAGCAGCCGCGUUAAAACGUAGGGGGCGAGCGUUGUCCGGAAUGACUGGGCGUAAAGGGUUCGUAGGCGUCAUAAUAAGUUAGAAGUGAAAUACCCAGGGCUUAACUCGGGUGCUGCUUCUAAGACUGUUGAGCUUGAGUGCGGGAGAGGUUAAUGGAAUUCCUAGUGUAGUGGUGGAAUGCGUAGAUAUUAGGAGGAACACCAGAGGCGAAGGCGAUUAACUGGACCGUAACUGACGCUGAGGCACGAAAGUGUGGGUAGCAAACAGGAUUAGAUACCCCAGUAGUC